Molecule: ribosomal RNA, 473 nt
Filed under: uncultured bacterium
Lineage: Bacteria
Description: bacterial SSU rRNA
Rfam family: Bacterial small subunit ribosomal RNA
Source: RNAcentral
CAGAACGAACGCUGGCGGCGAUGGAUUAGGCAUGCAAGUCGAACGGUGCAGCAAUGCAUAGUGGCGCAAGGGUGAGGAACGCGUGAGUAACCUGCCCUCAAGUUGGGAACAGCUUCUGGAAGCGGAAAUUAAUACCGAAUGUGACCAUUGGAAGGCAUCUUCUGUUGGUUAAAGGCCGCAAGGUCGCUUGAGGAGGGGCUCGCGUCCCAUUAUGCUAGUUGGUGAGGUAACGGCCCACCAAGGCGAAGAUGGGUAGCUGGUCUGAGAGGACGAUCAGCCACACUGGGACUGAGAACUGCCCAGACUCCUACGGGAGGCUGCAGUCGAGAAUUUUGGGCAAUGGACGAAAGUCUGACCCAAGCAAUGCCGCGUGCGGGAUGAAGGUCUUCGGAUUGUAAACCGCUGUCAAGUGGGACGAAACAAAUGACGGUACCGCUGAAGGAAGUCACGGCUAACUACGUGCCAGCAGCCGC